AAGAAGGGACUGCUUCUUGGUUCGCAAUCUACACCAGACGAGGCGACGAUUCAGACUUUUGAUUCUAAGAAGAAUGAAGAUGUCAAAAGUGAAACAGAUCUCGAAGAUGAAAACGCUGUAGAAGACUCUGCUCUUCUAGAAAAGACAUCCCCUGACGUCAGCUUGAAAUCAGAGGGAGCAGCGCUGGACAAAAACGGCUCAGCAGCCCUCGGCGAUGUCAGGCCAACUGUUCAGUUUACUGUGGAUGUGACCAAAAUGUCAAAUGCAACU
Molecule: long non-coding RNA, 270 nt
Organism: Anarrhichthys ocellatus (wolf-eel)
Lineage: Eukaryota; Metazoa; Chordata; Actinopteri; Perciformes; Anarhichadidae
Exons: 2
Source: RefSeq, a predicted model, not a curated record